RNAcentral lists this ribosomal RNA (253 nucleotides) under uncultured bacterium. RNAcentral describes it as "partial 16S ribosomal RNA". It matches the Rfam family "Bacterial small subunit ribosomal RNA", at positions 524 to 776 of the family's 1533-position model. The record is from RNAcentral.
UACGAAGGGGGCUAGCGUUGCUCGGAAUCACUGGGCGUAAAGCGCACGUAGGCGGCUUGUUAAGUCAGGGGUGAAAUCCUGGAGCUCAACUCCAGAACUGCCUUUGAUACUGAGAAGCUUGAGUCCGGGAGAGGUGAGUGGAACUGCGAGUGUAGAGGUGAAAUUCGUAGAUAUUCGCAAGAACACCAGUGGCGAAGGCGGCUCACUGGCCCGGUACUGACGCUGAGGUGCGAAAGCGUGGGGAGCAAACAGG